Molecule: non-coding RNA, 70 nt
Organism: Trichonephila clavata
Lineage: Eukaryota; Metazoa; Arthropoda; Arachnida; Araneae; Nephilidae
Source: the annotation of a GenBank genome assembly
GUAGCCGAGUGGUAAUGGCAACGAGCUCAAGGCUGGCGUUGUCGAGUCACGGGUUCGAGUCCCGUUGCCG